This 417-nucleotide ribosomal RNA is filed under the name uncultured bacterium. RNAcentral describes it as "bacterial SSU rRNA". It matches the Rfam family "Bacterial small subunit ribosomal RNA", at positions 29 to 496 of the family's 1533-position model. The record is from RNAcentral.
AACGAACGCUGGCGGCAGGCUUAACACAUGCAAGUCGAACGCCCCGCAAGGGGAGUGGCAGACGGGUGAGUAACGCGUGGGAAUCUACCGUACCCUACGGAAUAGCUCCGGGAAACUGGAAUUAAUACCGUAUACGCCCUACGGGGAAGAUUUAUCGGGGUAUGAUGAGCCCGCGUUGGAUUAGCUAGUUGGUGGGUAAAGGCCUACCAAGGCGACGAUCCAUAGCUGGUCUGAGAGGAUGAUCAGCCACAUUGGGACUGAGACACGGCCCAAACUCCUACGGAGGCAGCAGUGGGGAAUAUUGGACAAUGGGCGAAAGCCUGAUCCAGCAAUGCCGCGUGAGUGAUGAAGGCCUUAGGGUUGUAAAGCUCUUUUACCUGGGUAUGAUAAUGACAGUACCGGGAGAAUAAGCCCCGG